GGCAAUAGCUGACUGCAUAAUAUUAUUAAAUGAAUGCUAUUCUUUUAAUUUUAUAUAAUGUAGUUACUACUAGGUAAUUUAAUUUUCUAGGUAGAAUUAUGAUGAUGACGUUAUCUAUCUAUAAGUCUUGACCAAAUUACGUGCCAGCAGUCGCGGUAAUACGUAGAAGACAAGUGUUAUUCAUCUUUAUUGGGUUUAAAGAGUACCAAGACGGUUAAUAAAGCCCAGAAUACAUGAACACGGGGGACACAUUGACUAGAGUUAUAUGAAAGGAAGCUCUAAGGUACUGUUGAGUGGAGAGAUAAAAUUCUUUGAUACCAGAUGAGUGGCACAGAUUUAUGCGAAGGCAUCUUCUUAUGUAAUAACUGACGUUGUAGGACGAAGGCUUUUGAAGUGAACAGGAUUAGAUACCCUAGUAAUCUAAGCAGAAAAUGAUGAAUGUCAUAGGCUAAUAUGAGAGGAGAUAUAAAAAAAAUCUCAAAACUAGUGGUCUAUAAAUGAAAGUGUAAGCAUUCCACCUCAAGAGUAAUUUGGCAACAUUGGAACUGAAAUCAUUAGACCGUUUCUGAAACCAGUAGUGAAGUAUGUUGUUUAAUUAGAUAAUCCACAAAAAACCUUACCACAAUUUGAAUAUAUAUCUUUAAAGAUAUUUACAAGCGCUGCACGGCUGUCUACAGUUAAUGUCGUGAGACUUUGGUUAGUUCCAUAAAAUUAACGUAAGCCCUCAUUUUAUUUCUAAAUAAAGUUUUUUCUACCACAAAUGAUAAAAUUUGUGAUGAAAUAAAAGGGAACAUGACAAGUCAUCAUGGCC
Molecule: ribosomal RNA, 811 nt
Filed under: Pseudocyphellaria norvegica
Lineage: Eukaryota; Fungi; Ascomycota; Lecanoromycetes; Peltigerales; Lobariaceae
Description: SSU rRNA
Rfam family: Bacterial small subunit ribosomal RNA
Source: RNAcentral